Molecule: unclassified non-coding RNA, 445 nt
Filed under: uncultured fungus
Lineage: Eukaryota; Fungi
Description: partial contains small subunit ribosomal RNA, internal transcribed spacer 1, and 5.8S ribosomal RNA
Rfam family: Eukaryotic small subunit ribosomal RNA (bases 1-73)
Source: RNAcentral
GCAAACUUGGUCAUUUAGAGGAAGUAAAAGUCGUAACAAGGUUUCCGUAGGUGAACCUGCGGAAGGAUCAUCAUUAAAUCCAUUUAUACACCCUUGUGAACUGUGCGCUGAAGUUGCUACGCUCGUCGUGCAUCUUUCUUUGCAAUAACUACUUAAUUUAAAAAAGCUGAAGCAAUUUUAUUAAAUAAAACAACUUUCAACAAUGGAUCUCUUGGCUCUCUAGAGGAAGUAAAAGUCGUAACAAGGUUUCCGUAGGUGAACCUGCGGAAGGAUCAUCAUUAAAUCCAUUUAUACACCCUUGUGAACUGUGCGCUGAAGUUGCUACGCUCGUCGUGCAUCUUUCUUUGCAAUAACUACUUAAUUUAAAAAAGCUGAAGCAAUUUUAUUAAAUAAAACAACUUUCAACAAUGGAUCUCUUGGCUCUCGCAUCGAUGAAGAACGCAGC